UACGUAGGGGGCAAGCGUUGUCCGGAUUUACUGGGCUUAAAGGGUGCGUAGGUGGUUAAUUAAGUCAGUGGUGAAAUCUUCAGGCUUAACCUGGAAACUGCCAUUGAUACUAUUUAUCUUGAAUACUUUGGAGGUAAGCGGAAUAUGUCAUGUAGCGGUGAAAUGCUUAGAUAUGACAUAGAACACCAAUGGCGAAGGCAGCUUACUACACAGUAAUUGACACUGAGGCACGAAAGCGUGGGGAUCAAACAGG
RNAcentral lists this ribosomal RNA (253 nucleotides) under uncultured bacterium. RNAcentral describes it as "partial 16S ribosomal RNA". It matches the Rfam family "Bacterial small subunit ribosomal RNA", at positions 524 to 776 of the family's 1533-position model. The record is from RNAcentral.